This 665-nucleotide long non-coding RNA is filed under the name Zea mays. RNAcentral describes it as "long non-coding RNA (ZMAY_LNC005830)". The record is from RNAcentral. Lineage: Eukaryota; Viridiplantae; Streptophyta; Magnoliopsida; Poales; Poaceae.
CCCGGGAGGCCGCGGAGCGCAGCGAACGGGUUCUCAUCGUGCAGGGGCGGAGGCGGCGGAACAAGUGCCGGCAGGGAGGAGGAGAAGCGGAUGCUGGAAAUGGCUGCUACGACGGCGGCUACAGGAGCUUGUGAUUUGCAGUGUGGGAUGUUGAAUAGCAUGGAUUAUGGUUCUUGUACCGCCAGGCGACGCCUCGCCAUGAAUGAUGGCGUGGCGGCGGUGUUAGCAGCGCGAGCAACAGCUCCACAGGAAACACUCCAGGUGUCUCCGAUACCAAUUGUUAGCAAUAGCAGUGGACAAGCAUCCUCGCAUGGAGGGGGGAAUGUUAGCAGCGCGAGCAACAGCUCCACAGGAAACACUCCAGCAGAAUCAAGGACCAGCCGGCGUCCGCACAAGCCCAAUCCCAAAUUCGUGGGCCGCGACUGGGUCGCCUGAUGGGCCGACCUUGUAAUAGGAGUAUUAGAGUGAGAGAGGGUAACAGAGGAGAGCAGAGAAGAAUCUACGCUGUCACUAUUGUUCUUCUUCCUCUCCAAGCUAUCUGCUCCUCCCCCAAACUCUGUUUCUCGGAUUGUUCGCUGCUUGUCCACUGCUAUUGCUAACAGGCGGCGAGAAGGAAUCUGUGGCAGUUUGCUGCCGCGCAUCCACUAGAUUCCGGCGCACGUAUG